RNAcentral lists this ribosomal RNA (252 nucleotides) under uncultured bacterium. RNAcentral's name for it is "partial 16S ribosomal RNA". It matches the Rfam family "Bacterial small subunit ribosomal RNA", at positions 524 to 776 of the family's 1533-position model. The record is from RNAcentral.
UACGGAGGAUGCGAGCGUUAUCCGGAUUUAUUGGGUUUAAAGGGUGCGUAGGCGGGAUGCCAAGUCAGCGGUAAAAAUGCGGUGCUCAACGCCGUCGAGCCGUUGAAACUGGCGUUCUUGAGUGGGAGAGAAGUAUGCGGAAUGCGUGGUGUAGCGGUGAAAUGCAUAGAUAUCACGCAGAACUCCGAUUGCGAAGGCAGCGUACCGGCAUCCAACUGACGCUGAAGCACGAAAGCGUGGGGAGCAAAUAGG